GAGUUUGAUCCUGGCUCAGGAUGAACGCUAGCGGCAGGCUUAACACAUGCAAGUCGAGGGGUAACAUUGUGCUUGCACAGAUGACGACCGGCGCACGGGUGCGUAACGCGUAUAGAACCUACCUUUUACAGAGGGAUAGCCUUUAGAAAUGAAGAUUAAUACCUCAUAGUAUUGCGAUUUGGCAUCAGAUUGUAAUUAAAGAUUUAUCGGUAAAAGAUGGCUAUGCGUCCUAUUAGUUAGUUGGUAAGGUAACGGCUUACCAAGACAUCGAUAGGUAGGGGUCCUGAGAGGGAGAUCCCCCACACUGGUACUGAGACACGGACCAGACUCCUACGGGAGGCAGCAGUGAGGAAUAUUGGACAAUGGAGGAGACUCUGAUCCAGCCAUGCCGCGUGCAGGAAGACUGCCCUAUGGGUUGUAAACUGCUUUUAUACAGGAAGAAACACUAGUACGUGUACUAGCUUGACGGUACUGUAAGAAUAAGGACCGGCUAACUCCGUGCCAGCAGCCGCGGUAAUACGGAGGGUCCGAGCGUUAUCCGGAAUCAUUGGGUUUAAAGGGUCCGCAGGCGGUCGAUUAAGUCAGAGGUGAAAUCCCAUAGCUUAACUAUGGAACUGCCUUUGAUACUGGUUGACUUGAGUCAUAUGGAAGUAGAUAGAAUGUGUAGUGUAGCGGUGAAAUGCAUAGAUAUUACACAGAAUACCGAUUGCGAAGGCAGUCUACUACGUAUGUACUGACGCUCAUGGACGAAAGCGUGGGGAGCGAACAGGAUUAGAUUCCCUGGUAGUCCACGCCGUAAACGAUGGACACUAGUUGUUGGGAUUUAUCUCAGUGACUAAGCGAAAGUGAUAAGUGUCCCACCUGGGGAGUACGAUCGCAAGAUUGAAACUCAAAGGAAUGACGG
RNAcentral lists this ribosomal RNA (904 nucleotides) under uncultured bacterium. Its description in RNAcentral is "bacterial SSU rRNA". It matches the Rfam family "Bacterial small subunit ribosomal RNA", at positions 9 to 916 of the family's 1533-position model. The record is from RNAcentral.